AAGCUUGCUGUUAAUUCCCUGCUUUUUGUCCCUCAAGACUUCAGGUGAUCCCUGACUGUUCAUUCCCUUUUAAGUCUUGGAUCCAAGGCCAUUCACCUCCUGCAACCUCAAGCUGAAUAACAAGUGCACCUCAUUUCUAUAUUACAGCGAAGACUGUACUGAGCUUUCUCCUGCUAGACAGCAAAACUCCCUACAGCAAGACUUUCAAGAGACAAGCUGAGGAGAAGCUUGGAAAUGGAAGCACAUUCAUAUGGAUCCUGAGAGACUGACAGCUGAAUGCAGUAUUUUGGAAACCAGUACUUUUGCCUGGGAGUAAGAGAUUUGAAUAUAUUUUGGCAACACAGAUGAAGCCCAUCUCAUUCUGACUAAGAGGACCAAUCUAGAUGGUCCUCCCAAUGUCUCUAGAGAAUGGCCACAAAACUCAGGCAGGCUCCCAGGGAACAAUCCAGUGAAGAUGUGGACCCUGUAUCCUUGGUUUAAGCCUACUGACAAGGCAUGGGC
RNAcentral lists this long non-coding RNA (501 nucleotides) under Melopsittacus undulatus (budgerigar). RNAcentral's name for it is "lncRNA (ENSMUNG00000020865.1)". The record is from RNAcentral. Lineage: Eukaryota; Metazoa; Chordata; Aves; Psittaciformes; Psittaculidae.